AUGCGGGGCUUUAACGAUACUUGGUGCAGAUGGAUUGAACAGAUACUGCAUAAUGGGACAGUUAGCAUCAAGCUUAAUGGUAGUGUUGGGCCGCAUUUUCAAAGCAAAAAAGGGGUGAGGCAGGGGGACCCACACUCUCCUUUCCUAUUCAAUCUAGCCGUUGAAUGCCUCACCAAAAUGAUCAAAAAUGCCCAAAAAAACAAACUUAUUGUAGGUUUGGCUGCUGACCUUAUUCCUAAUGGGGUGGCGGUCCUGCAAUAUGCGGAUGAUACUAUCAUUUGCAUUGAA
RNAcentral lists this ribosomal RNA (288 nucleotides) under Triticum aestivum (bread wheat). RNAcentral's name for it is "partial small subunit ribosomal RNA". The record is from RNAcentral. Lineage: Eukaryota; Viridiplantae; Streptophyta; Magnoliopsida; Poales; Poaceae.